Molecule: ribosomal RNA, 253 nt
Filed under: uncultured bacterium
Lineage: Bacteria
Description: partial 16S ribosomal RNA
Rfam family: Bacterial small subunit ribosomal RNA
Source: RNAcentral
UACGUAGGGUGCGAGCGUUAAUCGGAAUUCCUGGGCGUAAAGCGUGCGUAGGCGGUUCGUUAUGUCUGCUGUGAAAGCCCCGGGCUUAACCUGGGAAUGGCAGUGGAAACUGGCGGGCUUGAGUGUGGCAGAGGGGGGUGGAAUUCCGCGUGUAGCAGUGAAAUGCGUAGAGAUGCGGAGGAACACCGAUGGCGAAGGCAGCCCCCUGGGCUGACACUGACGCUGAGGCACGAAAGCGUGGGGAGCAAACAGG